UAGAGGCAUGGCCCAAACUUGUAUGUGAGUGUGUGUGUUUACUAUAAAAUGAGGCUUAGACACCUUCAUUUCUCACUCAGAAAAUCUGUCAUCAUCUUCCUCUUCUUUCCCUCUCUCUCAAUCUUGAUCUCUAUCUCCCUAUAUAUCACCUUGAAGAUCAUCACCAUAAACCACCAUUCCACCACCCCAUGUUGCCGCUGCUUUGUAGUGGCGCAUGAGCAUAGAUGUGAUGUUUUGGACGAGGGAUUACGGAUAUAGGCCUGUAGAUAUGAAAUAAUGUAGUAAGGCUUAUAUUGUACUGUUUAUGCUUUUGAUCUGUACGAACAUGACAUCCCGAGUCUUUUAAUGAAAUACAUUUCUAUGGAAAUGCUUUUGAUAAAUCUUUAUCAUAUUUUGUUUUGGGACAAAUUCCGCAAUGCUUUUAUUUAAAAUGUUACUCUGAUUUUUAAACAAAGCAUAAACAAACCGAUCUUUUCUGGCCGUGAUUUUGGGGAUGUCACAGUAUGGGUUGGGUUGAGGUUGUGCUGCUCUGUGAUGUAGCCAACAAACCCUAGAGUAUGCCAGAUAUGAACUGAGGGUCAGAGAAGGCAUGCCAGACUCAUACUGAGGACCCAUGAGCAUUCCAGAUAGGAGUUGAGGGCCAGGAAGGGCAUGCCAGACUCGUACUGAGGGCUUAGUGGUAUUCAUUCCAAGGACUGAUCAUGCCGGGGAGCAAGCCAGACGUAAGCUAUGAGCCGAGGGCAAGCCAAAAUUAUGUUGUGGGCUCAGGGGUAAUUCAGUCUGUUAAGUUGCGGACUCAUUACAUGUUGUUAUUAUAUUUGUGCUAUUUCUUAUGUAUCGGUAUUUUGGGGGAACUCACUAAGCUUUGGACUUACAGUUUUGGUUUGUGUUUCAGGUACCUCAUAGGAUCGCAACAAGGCGAAGGCGUGAUUGUGCACCUCCUCAUGUUUUAGUUUUACGAUUUUGGGAUUUCUCUGAUGUGAAACUUAUUUUGAAAACAAUUUGUAAACAAUGUUGGUUUUGGGUUGUUUAAAAAGUUUAAAAUUUUCAAGAA
Molecule: non-coding RNA, 1054 nt
Organism: Lactuca sativa (garden lettuce)
Lineage: Eukaryota; Viridiplantae; Streptophyta; Magnoliopsida; Asterales; Asteraceae
Source: RefSeq, a predicted model, not a curated record